CCUACGGGGGGCAGCAGUGGGGAAUAUUGGGCAAUGGUCGCAAGCCUGACCCAGCAACGCCGCGUGCAGGAAGAAGGCCCUCGGGUUGUAAACUUCUUUUAUUCGGGACGAAACAAAUGACGGUACCGAAUGAAUAAGCCACGGCUAACUACGUGCCAGCAGCCGCGGUAAUACGUAGGUGGCAAGCGUUAUCCGGAUUUACUGGGUGUAAAGGGCGUGUAGGCGGCAGGGAAAGUCAGACGUGAAAUUCCAGGGCUCAACCCUGGAACUGCGUUUGAAACUGUUCUUCUUGAGUGAUGGAGAGGCAGGCGGAAUUCCGGGUGUAGCGGUGAAAUGCGUAGAUAUACGGAGGAACACCAGUGGCGAAGGCGGCUUGCUGGACGGUAACUGACGUUGAGGCUCGAAAGCGCGGGGAGCAAACAGGAUUAGAUACCCCUGUAGUC
This 443-nucleotide ribosomal RNA is filed under the name uncultured bacterium. RNAcentral's name for it is "partial 16S ribosomal RNA". It matches the Rfam family "Bacterial small subunit ribosomal RNA", at positions 338 to 795 of the family's 1533-position model. The record is from RNAcentral.